AUGUGUGCUCUUCCGAGCCGCACCCGGGAAACCCAAGUCUUUGGGUUCCGGGGGGAGUAUGGUUGCAAAGCUGAAACUUAAAGGAAUUGACGGAAGGGCACCACCAGGAGUGGAGCCUGCAGCUUAAUUUGACUCAACACAGGAAACCUCACCCGGCCCGGACACGGACAGGAUUGACAGAUUGAGAGCUCUUUCUCGAUUCCGUGGGUGGUGGUGCAUGGUCGUUCUUACUUGGUGGAGAGAUUUGUCUGGUUAAUUCCGAUAA
Molecule: long non-coding RNA, 265 nt
Organism: Empidonax traillii (willow flycatcher)
Lineage: Eukaryota; Metazoa; Chordata; Aves; Passeriformes; Tyrannidae
Exons: 3
Source: RefSeq, a predicted model, not a curated record